RNAcentral lists this ribosomal RNA (468 nucleotides) under uncultured bacterium. RNAcentral describes it as "partial 16S ribosomal RNA". It matches the Rfam family "Bacterial small subunit ribosomal RNA", at positions 28 to 507 of the family's 1533-position model. The record is from RNAcentral.
GAUGAACGCUGGCGGCGUGCUUAACACAUGCAAGUCGAACGGAAAGGCCCAAGCUUGCUUGGGUACUCGAGUGGCGAACGGGUGAGUAACACGUGGGUGAUCUGCCCUGCACUUCGGGAUAAGCCUGGGAAACUGGGUCUAAUACCGGAUAGGACCACUUCUUGGAUGUUGUGGUGGAAAGUUUUUUCGGUGUGGGAUGAGCUCGCGGCCUAUCAGCUUGUGGGUGGGGUAAUGGCCUACCAAGGCGUCGACGGGUAGCCGGCCUGAGAGGGUGUACGGCCACAUUGGGACUGAGAUACGGCCCAGACUCCUACGGGAGGCAGCAGUGGGGAAUAUUGAACAAUGGGCGCAAGCCUGAUGCAGCGACGCCGCGUGGGGGAUGACGGCCUUCGGGUUGUAAACUCCUUUCGCUAGGGACGAAGCGUUUUUGUGACGGUACCUGGAGAAGAAGCACCGGCUAACUACGUG